RNAcentral lists this ribosomal RNA (263 nucleotides) under uncultured bacterium. RNAcentral's name for it is "partial 16S ribosomal RNA". It matches the Rfam family "Bacterial small subunit ribosomal RNA", at positions 91 to 354 of the family's 1533-position model. The record is from RNAcentral.
CCUAGUGGCGGACGGGUGAGUAACGCGUGGGCAACCUGCCCCAUACCGGGGGAUAACAGCCGGAAACGGUUGCUAAUACCGCAUAAGCGCCAAAUGCCGCAUGGCAUGGGGCGGAAAACUCCGGUGGUAUGGGAUGGGCCCGCGUCUGAUUAGGCAGUUGGCGGGGCAGCGGCCCACCAAACCGACGAUCAGUAGCCGGCCUGAGAGGGCGGCCGGCCACAUUGGGACUGAGACACGGCCCAGACUCCUACGGGAGGCAGCAG